RNAcentral lists this transfer RNA (75 nucleotides) under Nocardia farcinica IFM 10152. RNAcentral describes it as "putative tRNA-Thr". It matches the Rfam family "tRNA". Rfam says of the family: Transfer RNA (tRNA) molecules are approximately 80 nucleotides in length. Their secondary structure includes four short double-helical elements and three loops (D, anti-codon, and T loops). The record is from RNAcentral. Lineage: Bacteria; Bacillati; Actinomycetota; Actinomycetes; Mycobacteriales; Nocardiaceae.
GCCUCCUUAGCUCAGUGGUAGAGCACUCGCCUUGUAAGCGAAAGGUCGUCAGUUCAAUCCUGACAGGGGGCUCUC